UAAAGAUCCAAGGGCCACC
This 19-nucleotide microRNA is filed under the name Ciona intestinalis (vase tunicate). RNAcentral describes it as "cin-miR-4075-3p". Lineage: Eukaryota; Metazoa; Chordata; Ascidiacea; Phlebobranchia; Cionidae. The record is from miRBase by way of RNAcentral.